Molecule: long non-coding RNA, 616 nt
Organism: Xenia sp. Carnegie-2017
Lineage: Eukaryota; Metazoa; Cnidaria; Anthozoa; Malacalcyonacea; Xeniidae
Exons: 2
Source: RefSeq, a predicted model, not a curated record
UUAGCAUGAGUUCAAUUGCAAAAUCUGAAGCAUUUUAUUGAACUAAAUCUUUCUUGUUUGUCAAGAAAAAACUUCGCUUCAGUAAGCAGAACUAAAACACCUGUCAAAACAUUGUACAACGUAAAAACGUUUCUGAAACUUAUUUAGCUUACUAUAUAUAUGAACUAAAAAUUCUUAUUUUCGUUUGGCAAAUCAAAGAAGAAGAAUGGGUAUCGGAGAUGCUUUAUGCAAGUUAGUAUGGGCAAUAAUAUGGAUGCUGAUUUUGUUGUUUGUCGCUUUGCCAAUUGGUUUUAUCAGUGCUCUACUCUACAUCGUAGUGUCCCCAUUUACAGUGUGUUGUGACUGUUUAAAUACAAUAGCAGACUUCUUAAAAAAGGUUUACGCUUUCCAAAGAAGAUAGCAAGUUAUAUGAUGGAUGGAAAGAACGGAUGUUGAUAUAUUACAAAAAUGAAAAAAUGUUUUCCAAAAAUGCAUUUGUGAAGAAAUGAAUUUUAAUUUGACGAAGACAAGGAUAGUCAAGGAUAUUGUUGAUCACUUGACAUCAAUAACAACAAUAUUCAAAACCUAUCUUACAUUACGAUUAAAUCCACAUUCUACUAUGUCGUUCAGUGAGAAA